CAUUACUGAAGUGAGUCUUCAUUCAUUGAAGCUUCUUCCCAUUGUGCUGGCUUUGACCGUAUGUAAAGUUGGGGAUUAAACAUGGUUCAAAAUUUAUUUUGUGGCCGUCCCCAACAAUUUAUCUCAUCCUUUAUAAAUUUGAACUGAACUCAUUUUGAGAUUACUUAAAAAAAUAAUCUUAUUAUACAACUUUCAACAACGGAUCUCUUGGUUCUCGCAUCGAUGAAGAACGCAGCGAAAUGCGAUACGUAAUGUGAAUUGCAGAAUUCAGUGAAUCAUCGAAUCUUUGAACGCACAUUGCACUCUAUGGUAUUCCGUAGAGUAUGCCUGUUUCAGUAUCAUGAACACCUCACUACUAUAACUUUAUUGUUAUGAUAGUGGAUUUGGAAUGCGCUGGUGUCAGUCAGCCCUUCUAAAAUGGAGUUCUUGCACUGUUGAUUUGUUUUAACAGCAAUGUUGGCCUAAUAAGUUUCAGCAGCAAUGUUGAAAUCACUGGCUUUUUUUGCUUAGAAUCGGACAGUCUUGAUAUACAGAAUUUUUGAGGUGACUUUUGUCUCCUCUUCAAAUUUUGAUCUGAAAUCAGGUAGGAUUACCCGCUGAACUUAAGCAUAUCAAUAAGCGGAGGAAAAGAAACUAACAAGGAUUCCCUCAGUAACGGCGAGUGAAGCGGGAAGAGCUCAAAUUUAAAAUCUGGCUUACUUGUAAGUCCGAGUUGUAGUCUGAAGAAACGUUUUCCAUAAGCACUGAGGCACAAGUCCCUUGGAACAGGGCAUCAUAGAGGGUGAGAAUCCCGUCCAUGGUCUCAAGUUGCUUAUUUUGUGAUACGUUUUCUAAGAGUCAGGUUGUUUGGGAAUGCAGCCUAAAAUGGGUGGUAAAUUUCAUCUAAAGCUAAAUAUUGGCGAGAGACCGAUAGCGAACAAGUACCGUGAGGGAAAGAUGAAAAGAACUUUGAAAAGAGAGUUAAACAGUACGUGAAAUUGUUGAAAGGGAACCGUUUGAAGCCAGUCUUACUUGCUCGUGAUCAGUUUGUGCCUCGGCAUGAAUGCACUCUCGGGUAUGGUAGGCCAACGGCAGUUUAGAAUGCGAGAAAAAAAUUUGGGAAAUGUGGCCUUCGGGUGUUAUAGUCCCUUAUGAAAUAUCGUGUUCUGGACUGAGGAUCGCAGUAAAAAUGUGGGCAGGUAGAUUUCUGUGGUGAAUUACUUGUAGGACAACUUGUUGACCUAGUUUUCAUAAGCCUCACUGUUUGC
RNAcentral lists this ribosomal RNA (1247 nucleotides) under Umbelopsis sp. P. del h. RNAcentral describes it as "eukaryotic LSU rRNA". The stretch from base 570 to 1247 matches the Rfam family "Eukaryotic large subunit ribosomal RNA", at positions 1 to 639 of the family's 3401-position model. Lineage: Eukaryota; Fungi; Mucoromycota; Umbelopsidomycetes; Umbelopsidales; Umbelopsidaceae. The record is from RNAcentral.